Molecule: ribosomal RNA, 299 nt
Filed under: uncultured soil bacterium
Lineage: Bacteria
Description: partial 16S ribosomal RNA
Rfam family: Bacterial small subunit ribosomal RNA
Source: RNAcentral
AGGAUGAACGCUGGCGGCGUGCUUAACACAUGCAAGUCGAACGAUGAAGGCUGGAGCUUGCUCUGGCUGGAUUAGUGGCGAACGGGUGAGUAACACGUGAGUAACCUGCCCCAGACUCUGGGACAAGCGCUGGAAACGGCGUCUAAUACCGGAUACGAGCUUCCACCGCAUGGUGAGGAGCUGGAAAGAAUUUCGGUCUGGGAUGGACUCGCGGCCUAUCAGCUUGUUGGUGAGGUAAUGGCUCACCAAGGCGACGACGGGUAGCCGGCCUGAGAGGGUGACCGGCCACACUGGGACUG